CUGGCGGCAUGCCUUACACAUGCAAGUCGAACGGCAGCAUGGAGAGCUUGCUCUCUGAUGGCGAGUGGCGAACGGUGAGUAAUGCAUCGGAACGUACCGUGUAAUGGGGGAUAACGUAGCGAAAGUUACGCUAAUACCGCAUACGACCUGAGGGUGAAAGCAGGGGAUCGCAAGACCUUGCGUUAUACGAGCGGCCGAUGUCAGAUUAGCUAGUUGGUGAGGUAAAGGCUCACCAAGGCGACGAUCUGUAGCGGGUCUGAGAGGAUGAUCCGCCACACUGGGACUGAGACACGGCCCAGACUCCUACGGGAGGCAGCAGUGGGGAAUUUUGGACAAUGGGGGCAACCCUGAUCCAGCCAUGCCGCGUGAGUGAAGAAGGCCUUCGGGUUGUAAAGCUCUUUCGGCCGGGAAGAAAUCGCACAGGCUAAUACUCUGUGUGGAUGACGGUACCGGCAUAAGAAGCACCGGCUAACUACGUG
RNAcentral lists this ribosomal RNA (479 nucleotides) under uncultured bacterium. RNAcentral's name for it is "bacterial SSU rRNA". It matches the Rfam family "Bacterial small subunit ribosomal RNA", at positions 36 to 507 of the family's 1533-position model. The record is from RNAcentral.